UUGGGGAUGUUCAAAUUUUUUCUAAGUGCUGUGUGAAAAUGCAAGAAAGGUAAGAGUAGCGUUAAUAAGACCCAUGAACUAAAACGAGUUUGACGCUCCUAAUUUAAAACGUCCCAAAUACUUUAAGCCAAUACCAUUAACUUUAGUGCGGUAAGCUGUGACACCAUAAUUUGCUCACUGCCUAAAUCUCAUAUCUAGACCUAAGGUUUCAACUCGGGAUCGUAUGCCACUCAUUUCAGUAUGUUCUCAUGCUUCUUAAGGUGUAACCUUUGACAGGUCUUAAUCCAUGACAGCUGCCUUGGUUUAUUGGUUUGGUUUAUACAGACAAGAAUCCUAGUGUUAGGAUUUACCAAAUACAGACUGUGCCAGUAUUUCGAAUUGCAUUCAUUCCUAGUUUCUUCAUUGGCUGAAUAGUGUAUCUAUGCUUUCUGUAUACGUUUUUAUCCUCUAAGCAUGAUUCAAACUUCAACACAUUUGAUCAGCUGCUGCUGUACAUGUUCAUUUGUGGCAAAACGUUCUGUCUAAUCAUUUAACACGCUCUGAAAUUCUGUUUCAUGUUUCCAGAGGAGAAAAAUCGGAGUGCAAGUUCUUUGACCAGCUGGUGCAGGUCUUUGGAAGCAAGUACGUAAUAAACUCUGACCCCCUGGCCGACGACACAGCCGAUGGUAUAGAGACCUGAGACUGUCCGUCAUCGUGGAGUCAGAUCAUGAGGACGCAGCAGCUGCAGACGACGGAGGAACAUCGAGAAGAUAAGAACAAGGACACUGAGGCAGAAACUGUCACAUCAGCAGCUGUGGUGUGCAGUUGUUUACAGAUGACAUUUGCCUCUGUACAUACUUCAAAUACUUUUACAUUCUUCAUACACACUGGCUGUAGUGGUGUGUGUGUGUGUGUGCGUGUGUGUGUGUGUGUGUGUGCGUGUGUGUUUGCGUCCCUCCACCAGUGUCUUUGUAUGAUUUCCAAUAGAGCCAUGACACUAAAUCCAGAAAGCUCAGGGCUCGAGGGACAAAAACCAAUCUCUGAUUUUGACCUGGAGGGAGUCGCUUGAAACGCCGUGCUCCUCCAGAAAACAUGUUUUUGCUAGCGUUGAAUUAUUUUGUACUUUGAAUCGAAGCACACGCAAAAAGAAACACACGUAAGACCUCUGUUACCGUAAGCACUGCGCACAUUUGCUUUGUUUGUUUUAUUCUGUCUUUGCACUUGUUUACAGUGUUUGAAAUCCGAGUUGUGAAAGUUGGAUUCAUGAAGCUAAUUCUUAUUUUUUACAUCAUAUGAACUGAUAUUGUCCAGAAUUAUAUUUAUUUAAGUUAUUGUUUACAUAUGUAUUCCAAACUUUUACAGUUUUCAUUGAAUAUGUUUCACUUCAAACUUUAUUGAAGCGCAUUUUUUCCACAAACUUGUCGAGGUUUUGUCACACGCAUUAAAAUAAACUUGAAAUGUUUGAUUGAUGA
Molecule: long non-coding RNA, 1451 nt
Organism: Epinephelus moara (kelp grouper)
Lineage: Eukaryota; Metazoa; Chordata; Actinopteri; Perciformes; Serranidae
Exons: 2
Source: RefSeq, a predicted model, not a curated record